GCCGGGCACGGUGGCUCAUGCCUGUAAUCCCAACACUAUGGGAGGCUGAGGUGGGCGGAUCACCUGAGGUCAGGAGUUCGAGACCAGCCUGACCAACAUGGUGAAACCCCAUCUCUA
Macaca fascicularis (crab-eating macaque) is the source of this 117-nucleotide unclassified non-coding RNA. It matches the Rfam family "Metazoan signal recognition particle RNA". From Rfam's summary of the family: The signal recognition particle (SRP) is a universally conserved ribonucleoprotein. The record is from Ensembl. Lineage: Eukaryota; Metazoa; Chordata; Mammalia; Primates; Cercopithecidae.